CCAGACUCCUACGGGAGGCAGCAGUGGGGGAUAUUGCACAAUGGGGGAAACCCUGAUGCAGCGACGCCGCGUGAGGGAAGACGGUUUUCGGAUUGUAAGCCUCUGUCUUUGGGGACGAAUUGAGACGGUACCCAAGGAGGAAGCUCCGGCUAACUACGUGCCAGCAGCCGCGGUAAUACGUAGGGAGCAAGCGUUGUCCGGAAUUACUGGGCGUAAAGGGCGCGUAGGUGGGCGCUUAAGUCAGGUGUGAAAACUCCGGGCUCAACCUGGAGACUGCACUUGAAACUGGGUGUCUUGAGGGCAGGAGAGGAAAGUGGAAUUCCUAGUGUAGCGGUGAAAUGCGUAGAUAUUAGGAGGAACACCAGUGGCGAAGGCGACUUUCUGGACUGUACCUGACGCUGAGGCGCGAAAGCGUGGGUAGCGAACGGGAUUAGAUACCCGUGUAA
Molecule: ribosomal RNA, 446 nt
Filed under: uncultured bacterium
Lineage: Bacteria
Description: partial 16S ribosomal RNA
Rfam family: Bacterial small subunit ribosomal RNA
Source: RNAcentral